RNAcentral lists this ribosomal RNA (1334 nucleotides) under metagenome. RNAcentral's name for it is "bacterial LSU rRNA". It matches the Rfam family "Bacterial large subunit ribosomal RNA", at positions 1591 to 2909 of the family's 2925-position model. The record is from RNAcentral.
AGGGUGAUCCUAUGCUGCCAAGAAAAUCUUCUAGCGAGGUUCUAGCCGCCCGUACCCCAAACCGACUCAGGUGGUUAGGUAGAGAAUACCAAGGCGAUCGAGUGAAUCGUGGUUAAGGAAUUCGGCAAAAUACCCCCGUAACUUCGGGAGAAGGGGGGCCCAGAGGGUGAAGAAGACUUGCUCUUCUAGCCUGAACGGCCGCAGAGACCAGGGAGAAGCGACUGUUUACUAAAAACACAGGUCCGUGCCAAGUCGCAAGACGAUGUAUACGGACUGACGCCUGCCCGGUGCUGGAACGUUAAGGGGACCGGUUAGCCUCACGGCGAAGCUGAGAACUUAAGCGCCAGUAAACGGCGGUGGUAACUAUAACCAUCCUAAGGUAGCGAAAUUCCUUGUCGGGUAAGUUCCGACCUGCACGAAUGGCGUAACGACUUCUCCACUGUCUCAACCACGAACUCGGCGAAAUUGCACUACGAGUAAAGAUGCUCGUUACGCGCAGAAGGACGGAAAGACCCCGGGACCUUUACUACAGCUUGGUAUUGGUGUUCGGUACGGCUUGUGUAGGAUAGGUGGGAGACUGUGAAGCUGAUACGCCAGUAUCGGUGGAGUCAACGUUGAAAUACCACUCUGGUCGUUCUGGAUAUCUAACCUCGGUCCGUGAUCCGGAUCAGGGACAGUGCCUGGUGGGUAGUUUAACUGGGGCGGUUGCCUCCUAAAAGGUAACGGAGGCGCCCAAAGGUUCCCUCAGCCUGGUUGGCAAUCAGGUUUUGAGUGUAAGUGCACAAGGGAGCUUGACUGUGAGAGUGACAACUCGAACAGGGACGAAAGUCGGGACUAGUGAUCCGGCGGUGGCUUGUGGAAGCGCCGUCGCUCAACGGAUAAAAGGUACCCCGGGGAUAACAGGCUGAUCUUGACCAAGAGUCCAUAUCGACGGCAUGGUUUGGCACCUCGAUGUCGGCUCGUCGCAUCCUGGGGCUGGAGUAGGUCCCAAGGGUUGGGCUGUUCGCCCAUUAAAGCGGUACGCGAGCUGGGUUUAGAACGUCGUGAGACAGUUCGGUCCCUAUCCUCUGCGCGCGCAGGAAACUUGAGAAGGGCUGUCCCUAGUACGAGAGGACCGGGAUGGACGAACCUCUGGUGUGUCAGUUGUUCUGCCAAGAGCACCGCUGAUUAGCUACGUUCGGAAGUGAUAACCGCUGAAAGCAUCUAAGCGGGAAGCAUGCUUCAAGAUGAGGUUUCCAUGGGGUUUACCCCGAGAGGCUCCCAGCUAGACUACUGGGUUGAUAGGCCGGAUGUGGAAGUGCGGUAACGCAUGGAGCUGACCGGUACUAAUAAGC